RNAcentral lists this ribosomal RNA (1350 nucleotides) under Triticum aestivum (bread wheat). RNAcentral's name for it is "partial small subunit ribosomal RNA". Lineage: Eukaryota; Viridiplantae; Streptophyta; Magnoliopsida; Poales; Poaceae. The record is from RNAcentral.
AUGUCUCGGCGCAUGGUACGCCCGGGCCUCGCCGAGUCGGCGGAGGCCAUCCACCUGACGUCGUGGGAUCUCCGGAGCAUCGCCGUGGAGUACAUUCAGAAGGGCAUCCUCCUGCCAAGCCUCCCGGGCGGACAGGGACGCCACGACGUCGACGUCGAACGUCUGGCUUCUUCCUUCGCACGCGCCCUGGACCGCUUCUACCCCUAUGCCGGGCGCCUCACCGUGGCGCCGGCUAGAGAGGGCAGGGCGUCGCCUGAGAGCCGGCGAGGCCGCGAGGGCGCCGAGUUCGUCCACGCCGUGGCGCCCGGCGUCGCCGUCGCGGACGUCACUGUCUCGCUCCUUAUUCCGCGGGUGGUCUGGUCCUUCUUCCCGCUCAACGGGAUGCUCGGCGCAGACGCCAUUGCCGACUCGCACCCGGUCCUCGCCGCGCAGGUAACCGAGCUCGCCGACGGCGUCUUCAUCGCCAUGUCGAUGAACCACAGCGUCGCCGACGGGACGACCUUCUGGCAGUUUUUCAACACCUGGUCCGAGCUAACCCGCCUCGGCCUGGGUGCCGUGAUGUCCACGCCGUUGCCCGUGUUCGACAAGUGGUUCUUCGACGGCUGCACCAUCCCCAUCCCUCUACCCUUCGGCAAGCUGGAGGACAUCGUCGGCCGGUCUAGAUCUGUUCCGCCGGUGCAGGAAUGCUUCCUCCAUUUUUCGGCGGCGACCUUGAAGAAGCUCAAGGCAACGGCGAACGGCGAGAUCUCCAGCACCACCACCAUCUCCUCGCUGCAAGCCCUGCUCGCGCACCUGUGGCGCGCCGUGUGCCGCGCCCGGCGGCUCGCGCCGGAGCAGGAGACGGCGUACAUCGUCUACGUUGGAUGUCGGGGCCGCGUUGGCGGCAUACCAGCGUCUUACGCGGGCAACGCGCUGGCGCACGUCACCGCGAAAUCAUCCGCCGGCGAGAUCAUGGGCAACGGCCUGGGCUGGGCGGCAUGGCAGCUGAACCGGGCCGUGGCGUCGUUUGACGAGGCGAGCGCGAGGGACAAGCUCGCGUCAUGGCCCCAGGAGCAGGAGCCCAGCUUCGCGCACCUGCCCGAGCUCGUGGUUUCCGCUCCGACGACGUUGUUGACGGGGAGCUCGCCGCGGUUCGACGUGUACGGGAACGACUUCGGGUGGGGCGCGCCGCUGGCCGUCCGGAGCGGCGCGGGGAACAAGGUGGACGGGAAGGCGACGGUGUACGAGGGGCGAGGCCGCGGAGGGAGCAUGGCGCUGGAGGUGUGCCUCGCUCCCGAGGGGCUCGCCAGGCUCGUCGCCGACGAGGAGUUCAUGGCCGCAGUGGGCGUAACCAGUAGCACUGAUGCAUAA